GAUGAACGCUGGCGGCGUGCCUAAUACAUGCAAGUCGAGCGAACGGACGAGAAGCUUGCUUCUCUGAUGUUAGCGGCGGACGGGUGAGUAACACGUGGAUAACCUACCUAUAAGACUGGGAUAACUUCGGGAAACCGGAGCUAAUACCGGAUAAUAUUUUGAACCGCAUGGUUCAAAAGUGAAAGACGCUCUUGCUGUCCCUUAUAGAUGGAUCCGCGCUGCAUUAGCUAGUUGGUAAGGUAACGGCUUACCAAGGCAACGAUGCAUAGCCGACCUGAGAGGGUGAUCGGCCACACGGGAACUGAGCCACGGUCCAGACUCCUACGGGAGGCAGCAGUAGGGAAUCUUCCGCAAUGGGCGAAAGCCUGACGGAGCAACGCCGCGUGAGUGAUGAAGGUCUUCGGAUCGUAAAACUCUGUUAUUAGGGAAGAACAUAUGUGUAAGUAACUGUGCACAUAUUGACGGUACCUAAUCAGAAAGCCACGGCUAACUACGUG
This 497-nucleotide ribosomal RNA is filed under the name uncultured bacterium. RNAcentral's name for it is "partial 16S ribosomal RNA". It matches the Rfam family "Bacterial small subunit ribosomal RNA", at positions 28 to 507 of the family's 1533-position model. The record is from RNAcentral.